Molecule: long non-coding RNA, 583 nt
Organism: Telopea speciosissima
Lineage: Eukaryota; Viridiplantae; Streptophyta; Magnoliopsida; Proteales; Proteaceae
Exons: 2
Source: RefSeq, a predicted model, not a curated record
AACUUCACCCUUGUCUAAGCAAACCUACAGUUUCUUUCUCUUCUCUCUUAACUUCUCUCUAUUUCCUUCCCCCCACUCUCUCACCUACCAUGAACCAUACCCACUUCACCAAAUGGGUUGGCUGCAAGCCCUCUUCUCUCCAUUGAAGAAGGUCUGGGUUCGUCUGCAUUCAGCCCACAAAAAGAGUAGAGGGAUAUACAUUCUAUAUGAGGAUGUCAAGUCCUGCCCUUGUGAAGAUGUGCAUGUCCUGUGGUCAAUUUUGGUGGAUCAAACACACCUGCCUUACCAGCAAAACAAUGAAGGCUAGAAGGUCUGGAAAGAAACUAAAGGAAGGAGGAGGCAUUGUGUAUAUAUAAUACUUACUUAAGAUCUCAUACAUGCUCAUCUCUAUUGGCUUCUUUCCUCUUUCAACCCAGGCACCACUUUAUGUUUUUUUUUUUUUUUCCCUUUUAUUUCCAAGUUUUCCAUGAUCUGUAAUUAGAAUUUUAGCAGAUGGGCAUCUUAUAAUUAAAAGAUUUUGUUUUGCUCUCAAUCUUGAAGCGCUUUUUUUUUCAGAACACUAGUCAUAAUAUGAAUUGUUGUU